Hippocampus zosterae (dwarf seahorse) is the source of this 663-nucleotide long non-coding RNA. RefSeq lists it as uncharacterized. The transcript is spliced from 2 exons. NCBI's taxonomy places the organism in Eukaryota, Metazoa, Chordata, Actinopteri, Syngnathiformes, Syngnathidae. The record is from RefSeq and is a predicted model, not a curated record.
CAGCGUUACCAUGGAAACACAAGGCCCCCAUGAGUACAAGGAGAAGACACCUCUCCCCCGCCAUGAUGAUUUCUUUCUCCUGUAAUGAGAAGGCAGCAAGGAGCUUUGAUGUCAUCAUCGAUAUUAAACAAGCAGAAAGAGUUCGGGAAGCCAAAGUCACUUCCUGUCGUAUUUGAGUGUGAGCAGCUGUCUGCUAUCAGACAAAGAAAGAGGAGGGAUUGUCCCAUCUGCUUGUGUUUAAGCUGACGGCUGCGUUUCCUGCAGUCCCGCGCCGACGACCACAUCAAGCGUCAAACGGCAAAGAACCCCUUUGGAAUGUCAUGUGCAUGACGUUUGUGAAUCGAAGACCAGGGUAAACAAGGAGCUCCAAAGCACCACGACAAGAACAUCAACUUGAUUGUGUUAUUCCAGAAAGACAUCGGGCAACACGGUGAACUAGUGGUCAAUGUUUGUUUGUCGUUAUGUGCCCUGACAUUGACCAACUAACUAACGAACCCUCAUCUCAGUCCUGGGUGUACUCAAAAAGUCAAUUCGGAUGGUCCCCUUACCCUAACGCGACCCCUUGAGAACCAGCAAUAGAAAACUGAUGGAUAAAGGAACUUUUGUAAACAUCCGUAGUUAAACACGACCAAGAAUCCCAAUAAACAUUCUUGAUGACCUGUA